Molecule: ribosomal RNA, 744 nt
Filed under: Triticum aestivum (bread wheat)
Lineage: Eukaryota; Viridiplantae; Streptophyta; Magnoliopsida; Poales; Poaceae
Description: partial small subunit ribosomal RNA
Source: RNAcentral
AUGAAGUCUGACUUGCCAUCUGUCAAUACCCCGUCGUCGGCGAGGGAGCAUGGGUCGUGGCCGAAGGAGAUCAUGCAGACGGUAUCGAACGCGAAUCGCUCGAGCACGUCCUGCAUGUCGAGAACCUUGUGGCCGCCGCUGGCCCCCGCGCGUCGCAGCAACGGCAGCAGCCUAUUUCUGACCUCGGACUGCACGGAAUCGAUGACGAAACCGCGGAGCGAGUGCGUGGUGAACUCACGGCUGGCGCUCUUGCUCCCCGUCGGAGUUGAAGAUGCCGUGGCCGAGGAAGUCGCCCAUGACGGGGAUGGUGCUGUCGCCUUUGGGGUAGUUGGCGAAGUUGGUGCGCAGGACGUGCUCGACGUCGGCCGGGUUGCCCGUGAUGAUGCACGUGAUCAUCCCGGGGAUCCAGAAGCCCAUCCUCCGCUCCGGGCUGCCGACGAUGAGGUCGGUCGACCAGUCGAGGAAGCGGUGGCGGUUCUUGAGGAACGCAUGGAGGUGGCCGAGCAGCGGGUGGCUGGUGAGGCCAUGGCUGCUCGGCUUCUUCUUGGGCAGAGUACGCCGCACGAUGCGGUGGGAAAUGUAGAGUAUGGCAGGAAGCAGCAGGAGCAUCUUGUUCUUCUGAUGUUGAACUAUGGCUAUAUGAGUUGGAUGGAUCAGCUGGAUGGCACCUGGAUCCGUGCCGCCGAAUUUAUUAACCCUCGGUCCUCGGAAAUAUUCAAUUCGCUUUUUAUUAUACAUACAUAA